RNAcentral lists this long non-coding RNA (1769 nucleotides) under Serinus canaria (Common canary). Its description in RNAcentral is "lncRNA (ENSSCAG00000010946.1)". Lineage: Eukaryota; Metazoa; Chordata; Aves; Passeriformes; Fringillidae. The record is from RNAcentral.
UCUCAGUAUUCCCCGAGAUAGCAGAGCCCAUACAUGCACUGCUGGUUGCAAUCACCAGCCUCUGUGAGAAAUUGUUUGUCUUGGUCUUUGCAUCAGGUAAAUGCCCAACCCAAAAUCACUGAUAAGAGCAGACACCAAAAAAAAAAAAGAAAAAAAAGCCAAAACCAGCCCAGAGACAAGGUCUCCUUGGGCCCCCAAUCAGCAACAAAAAAGGCAGUAACCAGACAGCCAUUUAGUGAACAUCUCAAAGCUAUCUACCGUCUGCUGGAGGGGCUUUAAAGGCAUCAGAUUUGUGUGUUUGGCUCAAGCCAAGUGAAUUGUAGUCUAAAGCUUUUCCUUGAAUUCAAGGCUGUGUUUACUGCAGUCAGGGCGAGGGGAAGGAGGCAACCCCAAAGCCCUCCCUCCUCCUCUUCCCCCACCCUGCAAGCCCCAGGCUUGAAACUUGAUUUAAAAAAAAAAAUACAAGAUUGAAUUUCAGUUUGCAGGAUUAGGGAGAUGACUUUUAGGGGCUGCUUGUUGGAAAAAAAGGAAAGCAAAGCAGCUGGGAGGGAUUAGGCUGAGCUGGCGUCUGCACUUUCAACUGAUUCAAUUUUGCUCCACAAGACAUUGUAUCUGAGCCUUUCUGGAGACUAUUCAAAGCAAAUCAUUUUCAUUUUACCAUUUGGUGGUGUCGUGGGGAUCCCAAGGGAUGGGGAGUGAUGGGGGCACGGAGGUGCUUGGGGUGACCUGACCCUGCCACCCAGAGCACUUCAGCCGUGCUGCAAAAUAGAUGCAGCCCCAUUGUGAAGGGAAAAGUUCUGCUGCUAUUCCCAUUCCCAAGAUGAUGAGCCCCCAAAGAAACUAUGCUCCUUGGUAAAAUGGACUGCAAUGAGCCUGGGAUGUCAGGAUGCUCUCAGGAAUGACAGACAGCCUGGGGGCUGAGGACCUGACUCCAGAAAGUCUCCAUCCAGAUCACCAACCUGCACCCAGAGGCAGUAACCCCACGGUGAGCCAGGACCUGGCAUGGGCUCAGCCUGCCUGGGGAUAUCCCAGAGGAGAGCCUGCCACGCAGAGCAGCAGCUCCUCAGGCCAGCAGAAAUCCACAUGUCUGUUCAGAAGUGCCAGUUCCAGUGCAAAAUGGAAAACUGGACAGAAAAUAAGCCUCUGGAGCACAUCCCAUGCUGAGGGUGGUAAGCCACGAAACAUUCACUGCAGUUGCUUCUGUGCUGGUCUGAGCUGUUGUGCUGUUCCUCUCACCAUUGUCCCCAGCUGCAUUUUCCCCACAUGCUCUUUUAUACCCAUGAAUAUUUCAAUGACAGUCUCAAAGCACUGGCACUGAUCCUCUUCCUAUGUUAGCAUCAGUGCAGGAUAACCUCAUCAGCUGGAACAGGCCCUGGUGCAUGGUCAUGCAAGAGGGGCAGGAAUGGCAGGAUUCAGGUACUGAUCCCUUUUAUAACAGAAAACCCAUUUUCUGGACUUUUCCAAAUCUGCUUUUAACUGGACUCUCCACUUGUUGAACUAGGGGAGGUCCCACUCAGUUCAAACCCUUCCCUAAAAUAUUCCUUGAGAUGGCUCCAGGUAACACAACUUUAUGUAUCAGAGCAUGAUGCUACCUGUGAGUGUCAUAUCAAGCACAGCAUCCAUCUGAAGAUUACCUUUUGUGCAGAGUGAGACUGGACUCCACUCCAUUGCACGGUUUUGGAACAAACUUUGAGUCCUUUCUCAAGUGGAAAAUCUCUGUGGGAUGCAGUUAUCUUGCAGAAUAAAGGCUGUUCUCCCUGUCUGAUUCA